GACGAACGCUGGCGGCGCGCCUAACACAUGCAAGUCGAACGAGCGGGAGGAGGUUUACUUUCUCAAGCGAGUGGCGAACGGGUGAGUAACGCGUGAGGAACCUGCCUCAAAGAGGGGGACAACAGUUGGAAACGACUGCUAAUACCGCAUAAGCCCACGACCCGGCAUCGGGUAGAGGGAAAAGGAGCAAUCCGCUUUGAGAUGGCCUCGCGUCCGAUUAGCUAGUUGGUGAGGUAAUGGCCCACCAAGGCGACGAUCGGUAGCCGGACUGAGAGGUUGAACGGCCACAUUGGGACUGAGACACGGCCCAGACUCCUACGGGAGGCAGCAGUGGGGAAUAUUGCACAAUGGGGGAAACCCUGAUGCAGCGACGCCGCGUGGAGGAAGAAGGUCUUCGGAUUGUAAACUCCUGUUGUUGAGGAAGAUAAUGACGGUACUCAACAAGGAAGUGACGGCUAACUACGUG
RNAcentral lists this ribosomal RNA (466 nucleotides) under uncultured bacterium. Its description in RNAcentral is "partial 16S ribosomal RNA". It matches the Rfam family "Bacterial small subunit ribosomal RNA", at positions 28 to 507 of the family's 1533-position model. The record is from RNAcentral.